GACCGCUCCGGUGCCUUAGUGGUUAGAGCGUCCGCCUCGGAUGCGGGAGAUCGCAAGUUGGAACCCCGACCGAGUCA
Non-coding RNA from Potamilus streckersoni, 77 nucleotides. The record is from the annotation of a GenBank genome assembly. NCBI's taxonomy places the organism in Eukaryota, Metazoa, Mollusca, Bivalvia, Unionida, Unionidae.